GACGAACGCUGGCGGCGUGCCUAAUACAUGCAAGUUGAGCGCUGAAGGUUGGUACUUGUACCAACUGGAUGAGCAGCGAACGGGUGAGUAACGCGUGGGGAAUCUGCCUUUGAGCGGGGGACAACAUUUGGAAACGAAUGCUAAUGCCGCAUAAAAACUUUAAACACAAGUUUUAAGUUUGAAAGAUGCAAUUGCAUCACUCAAAGAUGAUCCCGCGUUGUAUUAGCUAGUUGGUGAGGUAAAGGCUCACCAAGGCGAUGAUACAUAGCCGACCUGGGAGGGGGGUCGGCCACAUUGGGACUGAGACACGGCCCAAACUCCUACGGGAGGCAGCAGUAGGGAAUCUUCGGCAAUGGACGAAAGUCUGACCGAGCAACGCCGCGUGAGUGAAGAAGGUUUUCGGAUCGUAAAACUCUGUUGGUAGAGAAGAACGUUGGUGAGAGUGGAAAGCUCAUCAAGUGACGGUAACUACCCAGAAAGGGACGGCUAACUACGUG
This 497-nucleotide ribosomal RNA is filed under the name uncultured bacterium. RNAcentral's name for it is "partial 16S ribosomal RNA". It matches the Rfam family "Bacterial small subunit ribosomal RNA", at positions 28 to 507 of the family's 1533-position model. The record is from RNAcentral.